RNAcentral lists this transfer RNA (68 nucleotides) under Acidimicrobiaceae bacterium. RNAcentral's name for it is "tRNA-OTHER". The record is from RNAcentral. RNAcentral also lists the same sequence under 1 other name. Lineage: Bacteria; Bacillati; Actinomycetota; Acidimicrobiia; Acidimicrobiales; Acidimicrobiaceae.
GGGGGCAGCCGGGUGGCCGGGAGGGCCUGUAACUCCUAUCCCGAGGGGUUCGAAUCCCCUUGCCUCCA